Molecule: transfer RNA, 83 nt
Filed under: Schistocephalus solidus
Lineage: Eukaryota; Metazoa; Platyhelminthes; Cestoda; Diphyllobothriidea; Diphyllobothriidae
Rfam family: tRNA
About the family: Transfer RNA (tRNA) molecules are approximately 80 nucleotides in length.
Source: Rfam by way of RNAcentral
AGCCUCAUAGCUCAGUUGGCGAGAACGUAGGCUGUACUAGAGCCUUCCUCUUGCUGGCGUGGGUUCGAAUCCCACUGAGGCCG